This 468-nucleotide ribosomal RNA is filed under the name uncultured bacterium. RNAcentral describes it as "partial 16S ribosomal RNA". It matches the Rfam family "Bacterial small subunit ribosomal RNA", at positions 28 to 507 of the family's 1533-position model. The record is from RNAcentral.
GACGAACGCUGGCGGUGUGCUUAACACAUGCAAGUCGAACGGAAAGGCCCUGCUUUUUUGCGUUUCUCGAUUGCCGAACGCGUGAGUAUCACGUGUGUAACCUCCCCUUCUCUUUCGGGUAACUUCACGAAACUGGGGCUAAUAUCGGAUAGGAUCUGCUGCUCCGUGGUGGGGGUUGGAUAGUUUCGGCGGUGGGGGUUGGACUCGCGGCUUAUGAGCUUGUUUGUGGGGUAGGUGCUGACCAAGCCUUUGACGGCUAGGCGGCCUGGGAGGGUUAACGGGCACAAUGGGACUGAGAGACGGACCAGACGGCAACGGGAGGCAGCAGGGGGGAAUAUUGCACAACGGGCGGAAGCCUGAGGAAGAAACGCUGGGUGCGGAAAGACGGCCUUCGGGUUGAGAACCGCUUUCGACUGUGACGAAGCGGGAGUGACGGUAAUGGGUAAAGAAGCACCGGCUAACUACGUG